ACAACAGGUGGUGCAAUUUCCUAUAUUUGAAUACGGAGACUUUUGUACGCCUAAGCGCAAUUAUAUGAUGGAGUAAACGCUGCAAGCUUAUCGAGUCGGUACUCUACUCUUUCCCGACCCAGCGUUACCAAUUAUUCCAGCUGUUUUUACGCAGCUACUCUUUGUUUUGCAGCUCAAUACAACGCAACUUUACAGCGACACCAGCUUAGGUGGGGCGGGUUUAGUACUCUUUAGUAGUCGCUAGGCUUUUUAUUGCUUAGUCCUUGCCUGUUCGCUUCGCGUUUGUUGCUGCAUCUUUCUCUUUUCCUUUUUCUUAUCUUGUUUUUCGUAAGCUAAUUAUUACACAGGGAAGCAUAAGUCCCACGGAGCCGCUACGUCGCAACAUCCCGCGGGCCGCCACUGCGCAACAUCUUCGCUCGACGAGUCAGCGAGAUCAGCAGGAGGUAAGCAAGGUUUCGCGUAAGGGUACGCGUAGGGUGUCCACCUCAGGGUCUAGUACUAGCGAAGCCGCCCGUAUUUCGCGCUCGCGUUCCGAUAGUGGCUUAGCAGUACAGGUGGAACUUCCCCUGACUAAGUUAGCUCCUACUGAGGGUCAGGUUACUGCUCCACCAGAAACUACCGGAACAGAUUCCGAUAGGGAGAAGUGGUCGCGUCUCUUUGAAGCGCUAGGUAGGCCCCGCACCUACAUCAACCCUAUCUUUUCUAGGGACAGCGAUUCUGACGACGAAAUCAUGCAGAACCUUUACCCUACCCUCGACCCGUUCCAGCACAACGGGUUGGAUGACUUCCUCACCAAGGUUUUCCAGCAAGGAGUUGCCUACCCGCUCACUAGGAACAACUUGUCUGUUGAGAGCCUCAAAUCGUACCUUGACGCACUGCCUGGUCGUAA
This 889-nucleotide long non-coding RNA is filed under the name Volvox carteri. RNAcentral describes it as "long non-coding RNA (VCAR_LNC003855)". Lineage: Eukaryota; Viridiplantae; Chlorophyta; Chlorophyceae; Chlamydomonadales; Volvocaceae. The record is from RNAcentral.